RNAcentral lists this transfer RNA (73 nucleotides) under Candidatus Scatoplasma merdavium. RNAcentral describes it as "tRNA-Ile". It matches the Rfam family "tRNA". Rfam says of the family: Transfer RNA (tRNA) molecules are approximately 80 nucleotides in length. Their secondary structure includes four short double-helical elements and three loops (D, anti-codon, and T loops). Lineage: Bacteria; Bacillati; Bacillota; Bacilli; Caryophanales. The record is from RNAcentral.
GGAUCAGUAGCUCAAUGGUUAGAGUCCCCGCCUCAUAAGCGGGUCGUUACAGGUUCGAGUCCUGUCUGAUCCA